RNAcentral lists this ribosomal RNA (253 nucleotides) under uncultured bacterium. Its description in RNAcentral is "partial 16S ribosomal RNA". It matches the Rfam family "Bacterial small subunit ribosomal RNA", at positions 524 to 776 of the family's 1533-position model. The record is from RNAcentral.
UACGUAGGGUGCGGGCGUUAAUCGGAAUUACUGGGCGUAAAGGGUGCGUAGGCGGUUGAUUAAGUCAGUUGUGAAAUACGGCAGCUUAACUGUCGAGGUGCAAUUGAUACUGGUUGACUUGAGUACAGACGAGGUAGGCGGAAUUGACGGUGUAGCGGUGAAAUGCAUAGAUAUCGUCAAGAACACCGAUAGCGAAGGCAGCUUACUAGACUGUAACUGACGCUGAGGCACGAAAGUGUGGGGAUCAAACAGG